CUAGCCUAGACUCACUUGUUUCAGAUAUUUGUCUCGAAACAUAGCGACAUGAACAUGUAACUGUUUAAGUAUCCCUAGACGAUCCUGAACUAAUUAAUUCCUCAGCUGUCUGGAAAUUAAAAUUGAUUUCUUUCUACUCAUGCAUAUAUAUUUGUUUGAACAUGAUGUCUAUGUAUACACUUUAUUUAAUUAAACUAAUAUAUUUAUUUUGCAACCAAGAGGCAAACAUAUUUGUUUUGCAGCCAAGAGUCAAUCUUUGAACUAGCCUAUAGAUAUUCCAGGAGGAUUAAAGUCACACAAGUAAAACACAUGCAGUAGCAAAAAAAAAAAAACAGUAAAUAAAGAGUUCAAGUAAGAGAGGGUAGACUCCUAGAGAUGCGAUGAUAUAUUUUAUGGUAUCAGUUGCCAAAUCACAAACCCUAGUAGCACACAUUGGAGCUCCAUCGAGGUAUGCUUCUGGUCACGAAGUCUCUCCCGGUCAUGGUGUUGGAUUUGCCUCACACGGUUUCCGCCAACCAAAGACUAGUGCCAUGAGUCACGAAAUCUCACCACCACCACCUUGCUCUUUUGGUCACCUUAUUGUUGUGCACACUACAAAGCUUCUUCACAUGCAUGAGGAGAUCUCUGCAUUGCCCAUACGCAAAUACAAUAUCGCUCCACACGAAGAACGGAGGGUCGCCACCACACCUUCACCAGAAAGUCAAAAUGACCUCAAGCGCUCUAGCUCGUGAUGAUACAAGGACACAAAAACACAAUAUCUCAAAGUUCUCAAGCUUUAAGGGAUAAACCUCACAAGGACAAACUAUGGUGUCCAUCUUAACCUUGGAUCUCGCUCAAUGGAGUGUAGACCCUUUUCUAUUUUUUAGCUUUGGGGAACUCUAACACCCUCAAACAAGUGAGACAGCCUCAUAUAUAUAGCCUCAUCCCCCUCAAAAAGCCAUUGCAAAUUAACUUUUGGGGUACCCCUA
RNAcentral lists this long non-coding RNA (968 nucleotides) under Sorghum bicolor (sorghum). RNAcentral describes it as "long non-coding RNA (SBIC_LNC011032)". Lineage: Eukaryota; Viridiplantae; Streptophyta; Magnoliopsida; Poales; Poaceae. The record is from RNAcentral.